UCUAGCGAUCGACAUUAAAACCUUAGUUAUUUAACUCAAUUGUGAAUGUUUGUGCUAAAAAAUAGCUAAAAUUAACGAUAUUUAUUUGUAUUUUAAAAUUUAUUUAAUCAUUUGUUGGAUAUGCGGAUCGUCUGGUGAAUUAUAGCUGAAUUUGUGAUAAAGUUACGCAUCUCUUUUGUAUUAAAAAUAGCCAAUAAUUGUUAGUGAAAAUUUUCAGAUGUCGUCAAAUAUUGUUCCUGAUGUUCUAUGGAAAAGAAUUUUAGGCGAUGAAGAAGAGAGGGGACCAGAAAUUUCAAAUAUUAUAAACGGUUCGUCGGUGCCACUGCCAAGCUAAGUAUUUAUGAUACCCAACUGCCAAGCCAACCAAGAAUAGGAGAGUCUGCGUUUACAAUGCCAGCAGAUCCAAAAAAGAAAAAAGUUUGGAGGAAGGCUCUUUAUAAUUGGAUCAUAGGAAUUCCUUACAGAGAAAUAUCCCGAUUUUGUAAAAACUAUUACAUUGAUAAAUAAAUAUUAUGAAGUUA
Eurytemora carolleeae is the source of this 521-nucleotide long non-coding RNA. RefSeq lists it as uncharacterized. The record is from RefSeq and is a predicted model, not a curated record. Lineage: Eukaryota; Metazoa; Arthropoda; Copepoda; Calanoida; Temoridae. The transcript has 2 exons.